RNAcentral lists this ribosomal RNA (464 nucleotides) under uncultured bacterium. RNAcentral describes it as "bacterial SSU rRNA". It matches the Rfam family "Bacterial small subunit ribosomal RNA", at positions 36 to 518 of the family's 1533-position model. The record is from RNAcentral.
CUGGCGGCAUGCCUAACACAUGCAAGUCGAACGGGGGUAGGCAAUACCCUAGUGGCGAACGGGUGAGUAACACAUAAGCAAUCUGCCCUUCACAGGGGGAUAACAGCGGGAAACUGCUGCUAAUACCGCAUAAGACCACGGUACCGCAUGGUACAGGGGUAAAAACGAAUCAGUGGUGAAGGAUGAGCUUAUGUCCCAUUAGCUAGUUGGUGAGAUAACAGCCCACCAAGGCGACGAUGGGUAGCCGACCUGAGAGGGUGAUCGGCCACACUGGAACUGAGACACGGUCCAGACUCCUACGGGAGGCAGCAGUGGGGAAUAUUGGGCAAUGGAGGAAAAACCUCUUACCCAGCAAUGCCGCGUGAGUGAAGAAGGUCUUCGGAUUGUAAAGCUCUUUGAUUGGGGACGAAGAAAGUGACGGUACCCAAAGAACAAGCCCCGGCUAACUACGUGCCAGCCGCUGC